Molecule: ribosomal RNA, 249 nt
Filed under: uncultured bacterium
Lineage: Bacteria
Description: partial 16S ribosomal RNA
Rfam family: Bacterial small subunit ribosomal RNA
Source: RNAcentral
AGACGGCCCAGACUCCUACGGGAGGCAGCAGUGGGGAAUCUUGCGCAAUGGCCGGAAGGCUGACGCAGCGACGCCGCAUGUGGGAGGACGCCUUUCGGGGUGUAAACCACUGUUGCCCGGGACGAACAGCCUGUUUCGACAGGCCUGACGGUACCGGGUGAGGAAGCACCGGCUAACUCCGUGCCAGCAGCCGCGGUAAUACGGAGGGUGCGAGCGUUGUCCGGAAUCAUUGGGCGUAAAGGGCGCGUA